This 156-nucleotide ribosomal RNA is filed under the name uncultured bacterium. Its description in RNAcentral is "partial 16S ribosomal RNA". It matches the Rfam family "Bacterial small subunit ribosomal RNA", at positions 355 to 507 of the family's 1533-position model. The record is from RNAcentral.
UAAGGAAUAUUGGUCAAUGGAGGCAACUCUGAACCAGCCAUGCCGCGUGCAGGAAGACAGCCCUCUGGGUCGUAAACUGCUUUUAUUCGGGAAUAAACCUUAUUACGGUGUAAUAAGCUGAAUGUACCGAAGGAAUAAGGAUCGGCUAACUCCGUG